This 82-nucleotide transfer RNA is filed under the name Saccharomycodes ludwigii. It matches the Rfam family "tRNA". Rfam says of the family: Transfer RNA (tRNA) molecules are approximately 80 nucleotides in length. Their secondary structure includes four short double-helical elements and three loops (D, anti-codon, and T loops). Further hydrogen bonds mediate the characteristic L-shaped molecular structure. tRNAs have two regions of fundamental functional importance: the anti-codon, which is responsible for specific mRNA codon recognition, and the 3' end, to which the tRNAs corresponding amino acid is attached (by aminoacyl-tRNA synthetases). tRNAs cope with the degeneracy of the genetic code in two manners: having more than one tRNA (with a specific anti-codon) for a particular amino acid; and 'wobble' base-pairing, i.e. permitting non-standard base-pairing at the 3rd anti-codon position. Lineage: Eukaryota; Fungi; Ascomycota; Saccharomycetes; Saccharomycodales; Saccharomycodaceae. The record is from Rfam by way of RNAcentral.
GGUACUCUGGCCGAGUGGUCUAAGGCGUCAGGUUAAGGUCCUGGUCUCUACGGAGGCGCGAGUUCGAACCUCGCGAGUAUCA